Molecule: ribosomal RNA, 673 nt
Filed under: uncultured prokaryote
Description: bacterial SSU rRNA
Rfam family: Bacterial small subunit ribosomal RNA
Source: RNAcentral
GAUGAACGCUGACAGAAUGCUUAACACAUGCAAGUCGAUUCGAUUUACCUUCGGGUAUUGAGGAUGGCGGACGGGUGAGUAACGCGUAAGGAACUUGCCUCUUGGUCUGGGACAACUGUUGGAAACGACAGCUAAUACCGGAUAUUAUGAGAUUCUCGCAUGGGAAACUUAUGAAAGCUAUAUGCGCCAAGAGAGAGCCUUGCGUUCCAUUAGCUAGUUGGUGGGGUAACGGCCCACCAAGGCGACGAUGGAUAGCCGGCCUGAGAGGGUGAACGGCCACAAGGGGACUGAGACACGGCCCUUACUCCUACGGGAGGCAGCAGUGGGGAAUAUUGGACAAUGGACCAAAAGUCUGAUCCAGCAAUUCUGUGUGCACGAUGAAGGUCUUCGGAUUGUAAAGUGCUUUCAGUUGGGAAGAAGCAAGUGACGGUACCAACAGAAGAAGCGACGGCUAAAUACGUGCCAGCAGCCGCGGUAAUACGUAUGCCGCAAGCGUUAUCCGGAUUUAUUGGGCGUAAAGCGCGUCUAGGCGGAAAAAUAANUCUGAUGUUAAAAUGCGGGGCUCAACUCCAUAUUGCGUUGGAAACUGUUUUUCUAGAGUACUGGAGAGGUGGGCGGAACUACAAGUGUAGAGGUGAAAUUCGUAGAUAUUUGUAGGAAUGCCNAUGGAGAA